AUGGCUGGAGUGGUGCGCCUAUGGAACGAUUGGGAGGUCCAAAUCCUAGUGCUUGUUAGCUUCAUGCUGCAAGUGUUCCUGCUCAUGUUUGCCAGGAUGCGACGGCGGAACAUCUCCAUCGUCCCAAGGACCCUCCUCUGGCUGGCAUACCUGCUGGCGGACUCCAUAGCGAUAUACAUCCUUGGCCACAUGUCCUUCUAUGGCAAGUCCCACGGGCACCAACAGCUCAUGGCGUUCUGGGCACCCUUCUUGCUGGUGCAUCUCGGUGGCCAGGACAACAUCACCGCCUACUCCAUAGAAGACAGCCAGCUCUGGCCACGCCACCUGCUCUCUUUUGUCAUGCAGACGGUGGGAGUGGCUUAUGUCCUCUACAAGUAUGUUGCUGGCAGCUGGACCUUGGUCACAGGCGCAGCGCUGAUAUUUGUCAGCGGUGUUCUCAAGUAUGGGGAGAGAGUAUGGGCACUUAAGUCUUCCAGCCUGGAUAACAUGAGGAAGUUCCUUGACAGCAGGAAGUUGAGUGAGGCUAAACAAGGACAGAGACCACGGUGGGGCCAAGGGGAUAAUUUUGAUAUUGAAAGGGUUCUGCAGGGGGCUCAUGACCUUCUACCCAUUUGCAUGGCUCAGUUUGUGGACUAUAAGUUCUGGCCAUCUGCAUUCCAGAGUGAAGCCAUAGAGCUAUUCUAUAAGAAGGGCGAAAUGUUCGAGUUGGUUGAGAUGCAACUCUCCUUGAUGUAUGAUUUCCUAUAUACCAAGGCAGUGGUGGUCUUCACAUGGUAUGGAUGCUUCAUCCGUGCCGUUUCAUCAAUUGCCAGCAUCACCACUUUCUUCUUAUUUCAAUCAAGCAUUGGAAAAAAUGACUUCAACAGAGUUGAUGCCAUUGUCACAUACAUCUUAAUAGCUGGGGCUAUCCUCCUAGAGAUGACAGCUGUGUGGAAGGCAAUGGGAUCAACAUGGACAUGCGCAUUGUUGCAUGCUAGAAGAUGGCAUCGGCUUCACAGGAUAGUCGUAUCUGUUCGGCGGCGUUUCAAGGCUGCAGAAAGAAAUAGAAGAUGGUCAGGUUCCAUUGGACACCUGGAGUUACAUUACUCAUCUCUCGGGAGUGGAGGCUGCGUGCAGAGCUUGAGACGCAAAGAUUUAUGGAAGGUGUACCACUCCCUACCUAUCAUUUCAAAUGGUACUAAGAAGUUGGUGUUGGAAGUGGUAGAAAGAAUGGUGGAGAAAUGUGAAGGAAAAGAGGAUAUCAUGAGGAGUUACAAUGGUCAGUGUGCCCUGAAUGCAUGGAGCGGAUUCUUCAAGGAUCCCACCUCACACGCGGGCAUUGAUUUUGAUGAAAAAAUCAUUUCCUGGUACUUUGCCACUGAAAUAUUCUUCUCAUGGUCAUCUCGUGAGGAAGAGCAUAGUUAUGUUGUGGAGGCAAUCAAGAAAUUGUCUAACUACAUGACAUUUCUCCUUGUUGAACGUCCCUACAUGCUGCCUAGCCCUGUUUGCCACGGAUUGUAUGCCAAUACUGAAGCAGCAUAUGUGGGGCUUGAUUUUUCUGACAGGGAACGGAUUAGCAGAAAGUGGGGGCUGGACAGAACAAAAAAAAAUGAUGGAUCUGGACAAAAGAACGGACAUGGGCGAGCUACUCAAAGCAAAGUGGAAGUUGGUCAUAAUAAGUGA
This 1662-nucleotide ribosomal RNA is filed under the name Triticum aestivum (bread wheat). RNAcentral describes it as "partial small subunit ribosomal RNA". The record is from RNAcentral. Lineage: Eukaryota; Viridiplantae; Streptophyta; Magnoliopsida; Poales; Poaceae.